This is a non-coding RNA of Paramuricea clavata, 2051 nucleotides long. NCBI's taxonomy places the organism in Eukaryota, Metazoa, Cnidaria, Anthozoa, Malacalcyonacea, Plexauridae. The record is from the annotation of a GenBank genome assembly.
AAAAAAUACAUACUCACGCAAGUAUACAGAAGCUAUAUAGGAAACUUUAACCUGUUUAUUGUCAGUUCUAAUUUCUUCUCCCUAAAGGUAAGAACUAUCUUUCAUUGGUUGAGUGUGUCACCAGCUACAUGCAGGAGGAAACUUUAAUUAAACCAACUUUAUAAACCAAAAGUGCCUGCUUGCUGCAUAACUUUCUUUAUACACGUUGGUAAAACAAGUCAACAAUAGGGCCAUUUAUACGUGACAAAAUAAGUCGCGACUUACAUAAGACGCGACUUAAAUAAGUGGAGUUAUCACAUAAAUGGUUCUCUACGGCUUUGAUCUUAUUUAUUUGCUAUAGCUAUAAUGUUGUUUUGGUUGUUUUUGUUUUAAUAUGCAAGGCAUUAAAUUUUACGUUGUUUCAAGUUUCUGGCAUGUGUAGUUAGACUUUUUGUCCAAAAUUUCUUAUUUAAGACGCGGCUUAAAUAGGAACAGCUAAAAGACCUGUUCUUAUGUAAGACGCGUCUUAUCCAAGACGCGUCUUACAUAAGAAUUUUGUACCUUUUAUACGACAAACUCGCGUCUUAUUUAAGUCGCGUCUUAUGUAAGUCGCGUCUUAUUUUGUUCCGUAUAAAUAGGCCUAUUAUAUUAUUAUAUAGUCGCUUGAACUAUUUCAUCACUUUUGAACCUUUGACGAGACUGCUACCUUUGAAACUAAUACUUUACCCGUUCGUAAUGCCAUAGAUUUAUUUUAUUUUCAUAUUAAAUAAAACACAAUAGGGCCAUUUAUACGGGAUAAAAUAAGUCGCGACUUACAUAAGACGCGACUUAAAUAAGAACAGCUAAAGUUAUCCAAGACGCGUCUUACAUAAGAAUUUUGUACCUUUUAUACGACAAACUCGCGUCUUACUUAAGUCGCGUCUUAUGUACGUCGCGUCUUAUUUUGUUCCGUAUAAAUAGCCCAAAUGUCUCGAGAACGAAAAAAGAUAAGCUAGACUAAAAUUGACCACUAUAACAGUUAUUUUAUAGUUUUACAUGUUCUUUCCGCCUAAAUGCUGACUUGAAUUUCGUUACCACUGUAGUAAACUCUGCAUGGGCAAAUAUCACACAAGACUUUGUAUAGACAUUCAGGCAAUUACGCCAAAGCUAAACAUUAAUUUAAUUAAAGAACUUUCGAAUUUUUUUCUGUAAUUUGAAGAUAAAAAUGUAGUUGUUCUCAAGCAAUUUGUGUGGCUUUUUUUUUAAUAAUUAGUGUAUUGUGCUUUUAAAAGAUAUUUCGUUAUCUUGCACACAUUAAUAAGAUCCUUGACCUUGUAAGUUUGCGUGGUGAAAACAGAUAUAAUUGUAAAUGUUUCGUUUUAUUUUGUUGAAUUGUGAACACGCUAAUCUAUUUACCUCUGCUUUGUUGAAGAUUUCGAUCAUUGUUGCUACACUAAUAGCGGCACUGGUGAAGAUCGAUGCAAGCUUACAGAUCAAAAGCUACAAAAUAAACGUGAUGUUUCCACAAAUACUCUGAACGGCUGAACAAAUAUAUUUCCGGCAUGCAAUCAAACAAGCAAGUGCCGCGGCGAAAUUAAAACUUAUCCACUGAGUAUAUCAAAUGAAGUAGUCUACUUUAGUAUUUCCUUACACUGGACUUCGAUGAACAACAGUUUAAUCACUGACUAAUGGAGGUGGAAUUCCAAAACCAAAUUAUAGUAUCACAAAGGUUGACAAUGAAAAAUUUAAGCAUACAGUAUUUUGUAAGAGUUUACUCCUUAGUAAGGAUAAAUAUACAAUUAAGAUGUAAACAAGUACUCUAUAUAGUAUAAAUAAAUUGAGUCCAUUUUAGGUUUCGUCCGGUAUAGUUACAAUGGACCACUAUAUAGAUCUCUGUAUAAGAACAAGCUUUUUCAAUAAACACAGUAUGUCCGUGUUUCGUUGUUGCGUGGGAUUCAACCGAUAUUAUAGGCCUAUCUUUAAUUGGAUUUAGCGCAUCAAGUCGCUUGACAAAAGAAGAAACUGUGAGUUUGUAAUAGUUUCCGAUUCAAGACAAAUGCUAGCAGUAUGUGCAGUGUAAGUUAUUUUAUGCG